UUGACAUUUGAACUUUGUCCUAUAUAUCAGCUGAUCCAUUGUCGACGGAGUGCUUUCUUUACGAGAAGUUUCAGCCUUGCUCAGUGACAAGUUGAGGGUCACUUAAUGGCUAAACAUUGCCGCUGAUUGUUAGCUGAUAGCUAAGGUAGUAGAGCGAAGGACAGCAUCUUACGGGGAGGGCUGUGUUUUGACGGUUCAAUUGCUCACAAGGAUACAGACUACAAUGGAAGCGUCUGGCGUCACGGGACGAGAUGUAUACGACCUGUUCAACCCAGUCCUGAUUGGUGUUAUUGCCGUGGCGCUUGUUUUCUGUGUGCUGGGGAUCGCGGGGACGAUGUACCUUGUGUGUAAGUACUCACCGUGGUCCUCACCCCGAGGGACAGAGAAGCAAGGGAUCCGGUAUGAGCAUGUGUGAUCAGCGGCUUUACCCCAGGGACUCGUGAGGAGAUUCUGAUGUGACAUUGCUGGAUCACGUUACGGAUCAGGAACUAGUCUCCGGAGUUGAUGUCUGGAACCAUACAUCUGUCGCUAUCUGCAACACGUCCUGGUGUCACUGUGGUUCAAGGACGGAAUCUCCUUCGCGUCACCUAUAUCUGAAGAUGGGUGCUUGUUACAUGAGGUGGUCUUUCUCUGCUCAUUACCAGAAGGCCAGCGAACAGUUGUCCAGUCUUGUUUUGAUGCCAUGAAGCAAGCUCCUCACCAAGACUUGUACGGAUGUCAAAGAGCCAGUUAUCCAUUAAGUCAUGUUUAGUUGCCAUGUUUAGUUGCUCACCAAGAUGUAUGAUGAUAUCCGAUCGUGUCUGCACAAAAAUCAGACAUCUUCGACUCCAGAACAUCUUCAUAGUCUCUGUCAGGGAUGAACAUGCAUCUUUUCUAGUGAAAUUGUAUUUUCAAGUGGCAUUUAGAAACAUUGGUAUCAGUGAAAACACGCUUGACUGAUGGAUGUCCUCUGCUUUGCUGUAUAUAUGCGAUGUUUGGACACAGGUGCUUGUUUCUUGGUCAAGUGGCCAGUGAUACAUAUAAGUUGUCCCAGAAACAAUACCAGGCUUUCACAAACUUGAAAUCAGUUUUAAUUUUGAUAGAAGUGAACAUUAACUCAAAAUGUGUUCUAAUUCAAAACCGUACAGAGCAUUCAGUGCGGUAGUUUUUAUUAACAAACUUCUGAAUGAGGUUGACAUGCAUACAGUAGAAUAGUUUCCAAUAUAUAUUUUCCAUUGCACUUGUAAUGAAAUAUUAGUCAAGGUAAAGGAUUAACUGUUUUGAGAAAAUAUUACGAGUCAUCUUGAUCCUCCAGAUAUGAUGUGUCUUGAUGAUCGAUAUUAUGUAUUUCCUCAUUAAAAGAAGAUUACACUUGCUUUAGAAGCAUACAAGCAACGAUCUAACAAUGAAGACGUACAUUUUAUAAAAAUAUCCUUAUGGGAAGGACUUGAAUAUCUGAAUGAACACUAAUUCCUGAAAUAGUUUCCCAGCUUUGGACUGAGGAGAUAAGGGUUAAUGUACAUAUCCAUAGCCUUUGAAGAACCGUAGUCGUGUCGAUUAAUCUGUCAGAUGAACAUUACAAUUUCUUCACUAAUGGAAAUAGGAUUCUCAAUGUAAACAUGGAGACGUGUCUCGGUUGGCCUGAUACUGUGAAUAAUCCAGUCGUUGUGUAUAGCUGCCUUGCUGUCAGUAUAUACAGUAUGUACAUAGUCACUUGCGGCAUCUGCACGAACGUUGGUACAUAUUACCUGGACGGAACGGUUGGUAUUGCCUUCCCCCAUUUGAUAUAUGUGUAUCCAUGUAGUUACAUCUACUCACCAUGGUCCUCUGUGGGGGUUUUACAACCCACAUACACAGUCAAACACGCUUGUGUCGAAGUUUGAGGUGUCAACCAUGCGGUUGUCUCGAAAUACAAGCUUGAUCCACUUUCCUAAUUAACUAGGUAUUUGAGGAUGUGUCUAACACAUGUAAAACUGACAUUAUUUGCGGGUGUGUCACAAAUCGGAUAACUUUACACAGUAUUUACACAGGACCCUUUAACUUCGACACCACGUUGUUUGACUGUAUAAGAUGUCAGUGCUGGAAGUAUGGCAAGCGUAGUUGUCCGCACAUUGUCAAAAUCUUGUUAGGGUCACAGAGACAUAUUACUCUUUGAUUAUAAUGUACAUACUAAUUAUAAUGGAUUUGGUUCACAGCCACUGUAAACGAUACAAAACCGUUAGUUUCCCCAUCGUAAUGUUUUCAUUCAUCGAAGGUACAUGCGCUGAUAAUAUUUGAUAUUGUGUUACUUCCAAUGAGCCAUGCAACGAAGCUAGGUAGAUACGUAUAUUACCUUCCACGUCUUUUACGUUUACAUAUAUUUGCCAGGCGGAGAUAAGACAUAUUCAUACAUGAAGAAACAUUCCAAAGAGUCUGUUCGUGACGAGUCAAACUUUGUGAUUUCCUUCCUUUUUGAGAAAGUCAAAUGGCUCGAUAUUUGUUGUGAUUUACGAAAAGUUUUAAUGUUUGAAAUACUGUCUAUAAACGAUCCCGUUGUAUAAGUGCCUGUGACGUAUAUAUGUACACAUAUAUGUUGGCCUGGUUUAAACAUUGAAUGUUCUGUUCAUUGACUUUUAUAAUAAAGAAUGAACUAUU
This 2613-nucleotide long non-coding RNA is filed under the name Haliotis rubra (blacklip abalone). RNAcentral describes it as "uncharacterized LOC124257053". Lineage: Eukaryota; Metazoa; Mollusca; Gastropoda; Lepetellida; Haliotidae. The record is from RNAcentral.